GGGGAUGACAGGUCUCGACGGGGAGGGCUGGCUCCGGACUGCAAGCUGAGGUGCCUCCACCUCGUAAAACAGGGGCAAAGAUCAAGUGCCAAUACAGCACGAACACCGGCGUAUGCUUACGCCAUGGCCGCCUAAGGCGACCAUAGCCUAGCAAAAAGCCCUGGCCGCUUAGCGCGGCCACGUCCACUCCGGGCUCUCCUGGGCGGUCCGGAACUGGGCGUCAUCAAAGCCGAGGUGCGGUCGCUCCCACGCCGAUAAGGGCGACUCAAGGCCCCUCGAGAGAGGGGAUCGGCUGGCCCCCUUCAACUCUGUCGGUUGAGGUGAUCCGGGGCAAGAUCAAUUAGCCGACUAGGCUUGUAGGAUGUCCAGAGUCGAUCUCUUCGGACGCGGGUUCGAUUCCCGCCAUCUCCACC
Molecule: transfer-messenger RNA, 413 nt
Filed under: Chloroflexi bacterium ADurb.Bin180
Lineage: Bacteria; Bacillati; Chloroflexota
Description: transfer-messenger RNA, SsrA
Rfam family: transfer-messenger RNA
About the family: Bacterial tmRNA, also known as 10Sa RNA or SsrA, is named for its dual tRNA and mRNA-like properties. Its role is to liberate the mRNA from a stalled ribosome. To accomplish this part of the tmRNA is used as a reading frame that ends in a translation stop signal.
Source: RNAcentral